UACGGGGGGAGCAAGCGUUGUUCGGAUUUACUGGGCGUAAAGGGCGCGUAGGCGGCGCAACAAGUCACUUGUGAAAUCUCCGGGCUUAACUCGGAAAGGUCAAGUGAUACUGUUGUGCUAGAGUGCGGAAGGGGCAACUGGAAUUCUCGGUGUAGCGGUGAAAUGCGUAGAUAUCGAGAGGAACACCAGUGGCGAAGGCGAGUCCCUGGACAACACCUGACACUGAGGCACGAAAGCUAGGGGAGCAAACAGG
This 253-nucleotide ribosomal RNA is filed under the name uncultured bacterium. Its description in RNAcentral is "partial 16S ribosomal RNA". It matches the Rfam family "Bacterial small subunit ribosomal RNA", at positions 524 to 776 of the family's 1533-position model. The record is from RNAcentral.